UCAAAUUUUUCGACUUUAUAGAAGCUAGUUCAUGAAUCUAUUGUCAAUUUUCAAGAAAUCAUAAUUUAGAAACUUUUGGUACUUUUUGCAUCUUCUUGAGGAGCGAACGUUCGAAGAACCCAUGACAUGAAAGAUGUGACACAUUCUGGUUCUCGGACCCAUAAUGGAUCUGAAGAAGCCCGAUCUUGCUUGUUGAGUACUAGCCUACACUCUGCCAAAUGCCCCAUGGUUCAACCAUUUAUCACUAAAAAUAGUGCUGACCUAUGACUCAUGCCUCCCUAAAUCAUUGGCAAUGUCAGCCAGCCUGGAUAUCCUGGUAUGGAAAACAAGAUGCCAAUGGGAUUGGCUUCCUAAAGACACAGAUUUUAG
Molecule: long non-coding RNA, 369 nt
Organism: Limulus polyphemus (Atlantic horseshoe crab)
Lineage: Eukaryota; Metazoa; Arthropoda; Merostomata; Xiphosura; Limulidae
Exons: 3
Source: RefSeq, a predicted model, not a curated record